This 72-nucleotide transfer RNA is filed under the name Phrynosoma platyrhinos (Desert horned lizard). RNAcentral's name for it is "tRNA-OTHER". Lineage: Eukaryota; Metazoa; Chordata; Lepidosauria; Squamata; Phrynosomatidae. The record is from RNAcentral.
CCAGGUGUAGUAUAGUGGUUUGAGUGUUGGAUUACAACUCUGGAGACCAGGGUUCGAUUCCCUGCUCAAGCA